RNAcentral lists this ribosomal RNA (755 nucleotides) under Pseudomonas sp. Its description in RNAcentral is "bacterial SSU rRNA". It matches the Rfam family "Bacterial small subunit ribosomal RNA", at positions 43 to 782 of the family's 1533-position model. Lineage: Bacteria; Pseudomonadati; Pseudomonadota; Gammaproteobacteria; Pseudomonadales; Pseudomonadaceae. The record is from RNAcentral.
UCUCCNNNNANUACAANGCNAGUCNAGCGGUUAGAGAGAAUCUUGCUUCUCUUGAGAGCGGCGGACGGGNUGCAGUAAUGCCNUAUCGAAUCGUGCCUGGUUAGUGGGGGAUAACGGUUCGNAAACGGACGCUAAUACCGCAUACGUCCUACGGGAGAAAGCAGGGGACCUUCGGGCCUUGCGCUAUCAGAUGAGCCUAGGUCGGAUUANCUAGUUGGUGGGGUAAUGGCUCACCAAGGCGACGAUCCGUAACUGGUCUGAGAGGAUGAUCAAUCACACUGNAACUGAGACACGGUCCANACUCCUACGGGAGGCAGCAGUGGGGAAUAUUGGACAAUGNGCGAAAGCCUGAUCCAGCCAUGCCGCGUGUGUGAAGAAGGUCUUCGGAUUGUAAAGCACUUUAAGUUGGGAGGAAGGGUUGUAGAUUAAUACUCUGCAAUUUUGACGUUACCGACAGAAUAAGCACCGGCUAACUCUGUGCCAGCAGCCGCGGUAAUACAGAGGGUGCAAGCGUUAAUCGGAAUUACUGGGCGUAAAGCGCGCGUAGGUGGUUAGUUAAGUUGGAUGUGAAAUCCCCGGGCUCAACCUGGGAACUGCAUUCAAAACUGACUGACUAGAGUAUGGUAGAGGGUGGUGGAAUUUCCUGUGUAGCGGUGAAAUGCGUAGAUAUAGGAAGGAACACCAGUGGCGAAGGCGACCACCUGGACUGAUACUGACACUGAGGUGCGAAAGCGUGGGGAGCAAACAGGAUUAAA